Molecule: ribosomal RNA, 492 nt
Filed under: uncultured bacterium
Lineage: Bacteria
Description: partial 16S ribosomal RNA
Rfam family: Bacterial small subunit ribosomal RNA
Source: RNAcentral
AUUGAACGCUGGCGGCAUGCUUUACACAUGCAAGUCGAACGGUAACAGGCCUUCGGGUGCUGACGAGUGGCGAACGGGUGAGUAAUGCAUCGGAACGUACCCAGAGGUGGGGGAUAACGCAGCGAAAGCUGCGCUAAUACCGCAUGUGAUCUGAGGAUGAAAGCGGGGGACCGAGCAGCAAUGUUUGGCCUCGCGCCUUUGGAGCGGCCGAUGUCGGAUUAGCUAGUUGGUGGGGUAAAGGCCUACCAAGGCGACGAUCCGUAGCUGGUCUGAGAGGACGACCAGCCACACUGGGACUGAGACACGGCCCAGACUCCUACGGGAGGCAGCAGUGGGGAAUUUUGGACAAUGGGCGCAAGCCUGAUCCAGCAAUGCCGCGUGCGGGAAGAAGGCCUUCGGGUUGUAAACCGCUUUUGGCAGGAACGAAACGGUGUCCGCUAAUACCGGGCGCUAAUGACGGUACCUGCAGAAUAAGCACCGGCUAACUACGUG